CGACCGGCGCACGGGUGAGUAACACGUAUCCAACCUGCCGAUGACUCGGGGAUAGCCUUUCGAAAGGAAGAUUAAUACAAGAUGGCAUCAUGAGUCCGCAUGUUCACAUGAUUAAAGGUAUUCCGGUAGACGAUGGGGAUGCGUUCCAUUAGAUAGUAGGCGGGGUAACGGCCCACCUAGUCUUCGAUGGAUAGGGGUUCUGAGAGGAAGGUCCCCCACAUUGGAACUGAGACACGGUCCAAACUCCUACGGGAGGCAGCAUG
This 263-nucleotide ribosomal RNA is filed under the name uncultured bacterium. RNAcentral describes it as "partial 16S ribosomal RNA". It matches the Rfam family "Bacterial small subunit ribosomal RNA", at positions 92 to 353 of the family's 1533-position model. The record is from RNAcentral.